CUUGCCUUCCUUCCAUGUUUCUCUCUCUCUUCUCUAGUGUGUUGUCUGACCCACUUUCUCGGUCUGUCCUUGUCUCUACUUGUUAGGUCUCCUUUCGUUGAACACGGGCAGGCGUGCUAGGUGUGCAUCCCCACUGGCUAGGUCUCGGAAGCCAUGUAGAAGUGGAAGGGGACAAAAAUCACGCGGGGCAGUGCGCGCGAGAGUGGAGCAUCACUGUCAGUGUUGACGCAGUCUCUGUUCAUCGAGUGGGGUCGAUGUAGACGGGAUGGGAGAGGGAGGCAAGGAUGAGGGCAAGAUUUUGCCCAUCAAUUGAGUUUUGUGGAGUGAUGGCUCCUGCUUGGCUUAUUUGUGGCGCUUGCAGAGGAACAGUCGAGCAGCAGCCGAAGGAAAAGCUGGCAGAGGUGGACCUGAGCAGCCUGGACAUCCUUGUAAGCAGAGAUUAAAAGUCCUCCGCUUUCUGCCUUCCGCAUAACUGACUAGGGAGAAUUUCCCUAUAUUGGGAGCAGCUGAUCUUCCUGGACAGGGAGGAGCAUGUUCACCUGAGCAGAGGCCUGGAACCGGAAAGAACUUUGGGCAGUGAUGGCUCCUGCUUGGGUUAUAUGCUGUGUUUGCGGAGGAAUCGCCCAGGAGCCCCAGCCAGAGGAGAAACUGGAAGAAGUGAACCUGAGCAGCCUGGACAUCCUUGUAAGCAGAGAUGAACAGUCCUCCGCUUUCUGUCUUCUCCAUGACUGGCUCUGCGCUUGCAGAGGAAUUGGCCAGGAGCCCCAGCCACAGGAGAAGCUGGCACAAGUGGACCUGAGCAACCUGGACAUCCUUCUAAGCAGAUAUGAACAGUCCUCAGGUUUCCGCCUCCCAGAUAAUUAGCUCUGAGUAAGAGGCCAGUGCUUUGAAUUCCUCAUGUGUGCUCCCUCUAGUUUUCUUCACAGGCCGUGUGGUUCCUCGUUGGGUACGGGCUCUGUGGUAUCAAGGCUGCGGAGGGGCCAGAGUCUACUCUGCAGAGUGACUAUGUCGGGUGCCGUUAAGGGGGCCAAUACAGGGAGGAGAAAAGGGAAAGCGACCUGAACCCUGAUUACAGGGCAGUCACCCUUUCUUUCGUAAAAUACUCCUCCUUUACACAAGGAGGGGGGGGAGAGUCCCCAAUGUGGAAAGAUCUGGAAAUGAACAGGGAAGUGAGGGAUCCUGCUGAGUGUCCCCUUUCCAAUCAAUGCUCCAUCCCUGAGCGACACCCUUCCCGACUUACCUCCUACCCCACCAAGAAAAUGACAACUUUGUGCCCCCUACC
Long non-coding RNA from Terrapene triunguis (Three-toed box turtle), 1282 nucleotides. RefSeq lists it as uncharacterized. NCBI's taxonomy places the organism in Eukaryota, Metazoa, Chordata, Testudines, Emydidae. The transcript has 4 exons. The record is from RefSeq and is a predicted model, not a curated record.